GGGUUGUCACACUACUCUUCCUAACUGCAAGUGGACUUUACUGUUCCCAUGUGUCCAGACAGGAGAGGAAGACAAGAUGUGGGGCCUCCUGGGGAUCCUCUGGAGCUUCCUGGUGAUCCUGGUCAGCCUGUCCCCUGAGAACCUGAAGGAAAAAGUGAGAGGGCACCUCAGGGUACACAAGCAAGCAGAGGCUGAUUCUGCAGGACUGACAGUAGAGAGGGGCCUAAGACGCUCCCUCUACUGACCUGAGUGCAGACCCCUCGACAAAGACCUCCCCAUCCCUGACACCAAUGAUCCCAGGAUGGGGGCCCCUGUGUUGACCUGAGUCAUCCUCGGAGAACAAGUUCCUCACCUCCCCGAGAUCUGAAAACAGGAAUGAGAUGGAGCUACAUCCUGUCACCCCCACAUGGGGUGUCCAGAGCCUGGACCCACUUCCCUCCACCAAUCUCAAGCCGCCACUCAGAGCGAGAACUUCGCUUCUCUUUGACCCCCAACGCCAAGUCAGUGGUGUCACAUCCGGGCACCCGGGGAUUCCCUCGGUUGAAAGCAGGGGCGAAACCGGAUUCUACCAGAAUAGCCUGGGCCCACUUCCCUCCUCCAAUCCCAAGCCGCCUGUCAGACCAAGAAGCUCGCUUCUCUCUGACCCCCAAUGCGCAAAUCAGUGGCGUCACAUCCAGGCCAGGGGCUUCCCGGGGUUGACAGCAGGGGAAGACCCAGAUUCUGCCAGGAUGGAGCUAUAGAGGGAACCUGGGCCUGCUUCCUUCCACCGAUCUCAAGCUGCUCCUAAGACCAAGAACCUGGCUUCUCUCUGAUACCCAAUGCGCAAGUCAGUGGCAUCACAUCCGGGCCACCUGGCGCUUCUGGUUGAUUUGGGAAGCAGAGAAUAGCCGCCCAAAUUUGAUUGUAAUUUUGGCGGCUACAGGUAAGGCACUAAAUUGUAAAUAAUUUAAGUAUAAUUGACAUUUUUACAAUGUUCUGUUCCCCAUCAAUGAACAGGUUAUGCUCCUCUUUAUUUCAGACCCUCUUAACCUGAAUCUAUCAGUAUACUUUGAUAGUUGCCUCUAGAAAGACCUUAUACAUUUUUGUUAGGGUUCUUUUCAGGUUAAUUCUUGGAUUUUGUUACUACUGCAAAUGGCAUAUUUUCUAUUGUUUGUUCUAAUUAGGUAUUGCUUUCGCAUGUCAAAGAUUUUGACUUUGCUAUAGUAAUGUUACACACCUCUUUCUGAAAGCCCAUUCACCUGAAUAUUCCAUUUGCCUAUUCCUUUGAAUUUUCAAGACCGAUAAUGACAUUAUCACUAAACAUUAUGUAUUUUUCCAAUAUUCACAACCCUUAUUUAUUUUGAUACUUAUAGCUCUGACUUUGUGUCUCAAUGAUGAUUUAAAACAUAGAGAUAAUAGCCUACAUCUACUUCUUGCUCCUGACAUUAAUGAUAAUUCUUUGAACGUUUCACAUUUAAGUAUGUUUGCUGUUGAUUUUAGGAAAUAGAAGUUAUCUUUCAAUAUAGGUUAACUAAAUAUUUUUACCAUGAACUCAUCGAAUUUCUUUCAAAAGCUUUUUCUGUACCCAUUAACACAAUCAAAUUUUUUUCUACUCUAUUUUGUAUGUAAAGAAUUACAAUGAAACUUUUUUUCCUAAUGUGGAAUCAUAUUGUCUUUCCUUGGGCAGAGCCUGUUUGUUCAUUUAAUAUUCUACUAAUUUACAUAGAAUAAUUGCUGCUAUGUAACAGAGCUUGCUUGAUGUGUUUUUUAUAUCGGGGUGGGAGGUGGUCCUCAUCUGUUUUUUGAAUCCAAGAGGGCUCAUCUGGGAGAACAAAGUGAACAAUUGCCUAUAUUUUGUGUGCAUUGGAAGAGCUGAGAUAAGAUGGUGGUUAGUUUCCCCUGAUUAUUUAGUAGAAUCGGCCUCCAAAACUGACUAACAUGGAACGUUUGAGGGUGGCUUGAGCUUUGAAUAGUUUGAGCUUGUAUAGUUUCAGUUUGUAAAGUUUAAUUAAGGUUUUCUUUUUGGAUCAAUUUGGUCACUUGGUCACUUAUUUAUUUAUUUCUACAAAGUGAUCAGUUUCACUUAUGAUUUAACUUUUAGUGGAAUGAUAUUUAUGAUAAAAAAUGUUUUAUUAGGGAAAGCCUCAAACAUACAGAUUAAUAGAGAGACUAAUAUAGUGAACCCAGUGUAGAUGACUCUCAGCAUCAAUAACCUUAACUACACGGCAAACCUGUUUCCAGUUAGACACUCACCUACCAGCACCUAAGCUGCUGGAGUAACGUGGAGCAAGUCUAAGACAUCAUACGAUUUCAUCUCUAAAUAAUUCAAUAUGAUAUUUUUAAAAGAUAGGGACUUUGUAUUAAACAAAAACCCAAUAUUAUUUUCAUUUCUAAAAAGUAAAUAAAUGAUUAUCAAAUGUUCAACUGUUUUACACACUUACCUGGUAGACUUAUACUUUAUAAAAAUUGUGUUUCUUUGUAUGAGUACCCAAGUAUAAUAUUAUAUAGUGAUUUUUUGGUCAUACUCCUUAAGUCUUCUAUCAUUUGUAGGUCCCCUCCACAUGACCUGUUUUCUUGCCACUGUUUUGUUGUUGUUGGAAAGAAACAGAUCUUGUGUUCUUUCCAGUUUUCCAUAGUCUGGAUUUGGCUGAAUACAACACUGUGAUGUCCUUUAUCAUAUUCUUUAGCCCUCCAUUUCUAGGACUACAAGAUGCUCUAGGCUCAUUGGGUUUAUGCCCUGCCCCAGUCCUAAAAUCAGCCAUUUCUCCAGAGAUCUGGUUCCUUUUAAUAGGAAAUGGUUCUAGAAAUUUACAUCUGGGUGCUAGGUGUGCUCAUUGCUACUUUUGCUUUUGGUGUUGAAUUUACAAACUUUUUACCAAACUUAAAGUAAUGUAAAUUUUCUCUUAUUUUCUUAUAGAAGUUGUAUAAUUUUUGCAUUUUGCAUUAGGUCUAUGAUGUAGCUUGAGUUAAUCUUUGUGAAAUACCUAAGGAUUUGUCUAGGUUAUUAUUAUUAUUGUUGGUGUAUAGAUGUCCAAUUUUUCAUGCACCAUUUGUUGGAACAACUAUACUUUCAGCAUUAUUGCUUUGUUAUAAAUCACCUGAAUAUAUGUGUGCAGGUCUAUUUCUGGGCUGUAUUCUGUUUUUUUAAUAUAUGUUCUUUAUCCAUUCACCAAAAGAAAUACAUCUUGGAUGCUUCUAUUUUUGGUGAUUAUGAAAUAAGCUAUUGUACACAUUCACAUACAAAUUUUUAUGUAGGCGUAAGUUUUCAAAUCAGUUGGGUAAAUACCUAGGCGUAGGACUGCUGAAUCUUAUCGUAAGACUAUGUUCAGUUUUUUUAAGAAAAUGCCAAACUGUCUACUUCCAAAGUGGCUGCAUCAUUUUGCAUUUCCACCAUCAAUGAAUGAGAGUUUCUGUUGCUCCACAUCUUCACUAGCAAUUGGUCUUUUUUUUAUCUUAGACAUUCUAAUAGGUGUAUAGUGGUUUCUCAUUUUAGUACACAAUUCUCUAAUGACAAAAGACGUCCAGGACUUUUACUAUGCUUAUUUGCCAUCUGUAUAUCUUCUUUGGUGUACUGUCUGUUCAGAUCUUCAACUAUUUUCGUUUAUUUUCUAUUGUUGAGUUUUAAGAAGUUGUGUAUAUUGUAGAGACAAGUUCUUUAUCACAUAUGUGUGCUACAGAUGUUUUCUGCUAGUCUGUAGCUUCUGUUUUUAUUCUGUUAACUCUGUUUUUUGAAGAGCAUAAGAUUUUUAUUUUAAUAAAAUCCAACUUGGCUAAUUUUUCCUUCAUUGAUGAUACUUUUGGUGCUGAAUUUUAAAACUCAUCAUCAAACUCAAAUUUGUGUAGAUUUUCUCUUACGCUUUCUUCUAGAAGUUGUAUGGUUUUUGCAUUUUGCAUUAGAUCUAUGACGUAUUUUGAGUUGAUCUUGUGAAAUUUUUAAGGAUAUGUCUAGGUUAUUAUUAUUAUUAUUAUUAUUAUUUGUGUCUAGAUGUCCAAUUGUUCAGGCACCACUUGUUGGAAAAAACUAUACUUUUACCAUUAUUGCCUUUGUUGCAAUUCACCUGACUAUAUGUGUGCCAGUCUGUUUCUGAGCUCUAUUCUGUUUUAUUAAUCUAUGUGUUUAUUCUUUGCUAAUGGUUAUGUCCUCUACCGCAUUCAUAUUUUGAAUCCCUCAGCUCCAGGGUGUCUGUAUUUGGAGAUGGGGCCUCUAAGGAAGUAAUUAAUAUUGAAAGAGGUCAUAAGGGUGGGGCCUUGAUCCCAUAAGAUUAGUGUGGUUAUAAGGGAAGCAAGAAAGCACUCUUGUGCUUGCAUGAGUUCUCUC
Molecule: long non-coding RNA, 4297 nt
Filed under: Homo sapiens (human)
Lineage: Eukaryota; Metazoa; Chordata; Mammalia; Primates; Hominidae
Description: HSALNT0409085
Source: RNAcentral